GCCCCGGCGCGGGCGGGUUCUGG
This 23-nucleotide microRNA is filed under the name Homo sapiens (human). RNAcentral's name for it is "hsa-miR-4707-5p". Lineage: Eukaryota; Metazoa; Chordata; Mammalia; Primates; Hominidae. The record is from miRBase by way of RNAcentral.